This 1588-nucleotide small RNA is filed under the name Arabidopsis thaliana (thale cress). Its description in RNAcentral is "ATSL020080". Lineage: Eukaryota; Viridiplantae; Streptophyta; Magnoliopsida; Brassicales; Brassicaceae. The record is from RNAcentral.
AUAUAUAUAUAUAGAAAAUUUGUUCAACUUAUCCUACUAUAUUAUUUGGGAAGUACAUUUUAAAUGUAACCUUAACUUUUAUAAGUAAUUACAUAGGUAUGCCAUUAGAAAUAAAAUUUUAAAGAGUAAAUUAAUUUAUCUCUUUAAGGAUUAAAAAGUCAAAUACUAAUUUAAUUAAUUAAAUUUAAUUAAAAAACGAAAUAUAUUAUUAUUUUCCAAAAAUAAUAACCAAUCAAAAUCAACAUAUAAGAUUUGAUAUCUAAAUUUUAAUUAAUUUAAUUUAAUUAGAAAAACGAAAUACAUUAUUAAUUUCCAAAAAAGUAACCAAUUAAAAUCAACAAAUUAGAUUUGAUAUCUAAAUUAUCAUAUUAAUUUUUUAUUAAUUAUUAUAGUUCACUUCUCAUCUUUAUAUGAUUCUAUUUUUGCCGAAAAAUAAUAUCAUCAUUAUAAAAAAAUAAUUAGAGUUUUUUCGCAUAUGCCAUAUUUUGAAUUUUUAAAAACGAAUAUAAACUAUUCAAUACAUGAAAAAAUAUUAUAACGGAAGAAAAAUAGAUUUAAGAAAACUUUCUACUGAGUAACGGAUCAUAAUUUGAAAUAUUUCUAUUCAAUUUCACACAUAUUAUAAUGAAAAUUUAUAAUCUUAUAUACUACAGUAAUUAAUAACAUAUUAGAUGUGAUUCAAUUUUUAAUACAAGCUGAAAAAUCCUAGAAUUGACGGGUUUAGAUCGAUAUUAAUACAAGAUGAUAUACUACAUGUGAAACUCUUAAAUUAACAAUCAAACUACAAGUGUAUAAUCUUAAACACUAAACAAUAUAGAUAAUAUCAACAAAAUAUAUACAACUCACAGAUUACUAUACAUUUAAAAUCAAAUAAAAUAAUAUCAUAUAUAUUUAAAUCAUCUUUACAAUAAAAGUUUUUAGUUUAACUAAAGUAUAAGCCUACCUGCGGUAUACUGCAGGUUAAUAACUAGAUUAUAGGGCUUAUUGGAUCUAAAGACGGGUCAUCAAAGAUUUCCUAAACUGAAGCAAAAUAUACUGAAUAUUCAAAUAUCUAUCUGUUACCAAAUUAUAAACAAAUAAGUUCGUAAAACAAUUUAAUAUUUUAUAUACGAAAUCAAUUAAAUCUUAAUCACAUAAAAAUUAGCACAAAAAAAAGUAUUCAAUAAUUAAAAAAUUAUCAAAUCUCUGUGUUAUAUAAGUUUUGAUACUAUAUUCGAAUAAAGUGUAAUAUACCUUUUCAAUUUGUAUUAUUUAACUAAUUUAAGCUAACUAAUAUAGUUGCUAAUCUUAUACCUAUCAAAACCGACUAUCGUUUCUUAUCUCUAUAGUAUUUUUGCAAGAUUUUUUUGGUGGAUUUGGAUAAAAGUGCAUUCGGGUCAUAUGGUACAGUCUCCUAUUAAAUAAAUAUGGUGCACUCAUUUGUUAUUAGCUAAAAUAUUUAGAUUAUAAUUCAGAGUCAUAUCAUUAAUAAAAUAAAUGGCUUUUUGGCAAGACGGAUUUGGAUGGACGGGUUUUUGAAUCAACAUUAAUAAAAAAGUAAAAUAUAAUUAAUCCACAAUUUCAAUACGGAUUAAAUCUUUAAUUUAUU